RNAcentral lists this ribosomal RNA (484 nucleotides) under uncultured bacterium. RNAcentral's name for it is "partial 16S ribosomal RNA". It matches the Rfam family "Bacterial small subunit ribosomal RNA", at positions 30 to 507 of the family's 1533-position model. The record is from RNAcentral.
AUUGAACGCUGGCGGCAGGCCUAACACAUGCAAGUCGAGCGGAUGAAGGGAGCUUGCUCCUGGAUUCAGCGGCGGACGGGUGAGUAAUGCCUAUGAAUCUGCCUGGUAUUGGGGGAUAACGUCCGGAAACGGGCGCUAAUACCGCAUACGUCCUGAGGGAGAAAGUGGGGGAUCUUCGGACCUCACGCUAUCAGAUGAGCCUAGGUCGGAUUAGCUAGUUGGUGGGGUAAAGGCCUACCAAGGCGACGAUCCGUAACUGGUCUGAGAGGAUGAUCAGUCACACUGGAACUGGGACACGGUCCAGACUCCUACGGGAGGCAGCAGUGGGGAAUAUUGGACAAUGGGCGAAAGCCUGAUCCAGCCAUGCCGCGUGUGUGAAGAAGGUCUUCGGAUUGUAAAGCACGUUAAGUUGGGAGGAAGGGCAGUAAGUUAAUACCUUGCUGUUUUGACGUUACCAACAGAAUAAGCACCGGCUAACUUCGUG